ACGGCUUUCCCGGCCCUGCGCCUUCGCUGCUUCCGCCUCUGCGGCAAGCCCACGAGCCUCACUUCUCCUACCCCCUAAUUAGGAGCAUCAGUGCAUCGCUUUGAUUUCCCCUAAAAAGGGAAAAACGGCCCAAACGCCUUCGGCUGAGUGCGGGAGUGGAGAGAUUUCUGGCAGAAAACGACAAAAAUGUUUUUUUCCCCGGGCUGGGAAGAACCAACCAAACCGAACUGUGGUGGCACCCCCCAGCAGCGCCUCUCUGCCGCCCCAGCUGAAGCCCUCGCUGGCUGCUCCAGGCUCCAUGGGCAGACUGGGAACACAGGAGCUCCUGGUGGUGACGUUCCCAGAUCCGGAGGCACGGCUGUGUUCCAUGAAGGCUGGCUUGAGUGUGGGACCCUGCCCUCUGAUGCAGGUACAGACUCUGGGGACAGCAGAGGACUAAAUAACGAAAAAGAAGAGGGGGAAGAAAACUGCAGAUCUAGACAAUUUUUCAGACAAUACAUGGGACACAUCCUGGUCUGUUGAAGCCUUAAGAUAUUGGACGGUCAGAAGACAAAGAACGGCAACUGCUGCUGGCUGUGACUGUCUUUGCAGUUCAGCUGGAACCUGGACAGUUGUAACAUCUGUGGGUUCUACUGCUGCACCAUCAGACUCUCCCUCUUCGAGGCAGGGGAAGGGCUUCUCAUCAGCUGGGGAAAUGUACUCCUUCAGCAUCUGGCCUAUCUCCUUUACUAGAAACCCCACCCAUUCUGGGUAGUUCAUAUCUGGGGUGGACUGUGGGGCAGGGUCAGGUUCUGGGGCAGCAGCAUCUCUAGUCUUGGGUGCCUUGUCAGGUUCUGGGUUAGGUGUCAGGGUGGUUCUUCCCUUAUCUCUAAAUGCUAAAUAGAACAGGCCUAACAGCAUCACCAGCCACUGUAUGAUAGCAUUAGUAUUUAGAGUGGAUCUGAACCCUUCAAAAACUGGUGGGGCAGACCCAAAGAGAUGCUUAAAGGGUUGGGAGAAAAUUUCCCCUGGUAUCAUUUCCUUACAGUAGGUGUCAUUAUUAAAGUAACCCCAAAAACAUAUAGUUAGUGUGUGGUAGCUGUGAAUCCAUGUGCCUGCUUUCCAGAGGAAGUUAAAAAUUCAUUAAUUCCUCAUCUUAUUCACCCAUAAAACAAACCGGAUAACAGCCACAGUAGCCUUGGUUAUAGGACCCAUGUUUAGAUAAGGGCCUGCAAAUGGGAGAAAUAAAGCCACAAUUACACGCCAAACCAGGGUAGGCUGGACCACAUGGUGUCGCUUAACGAGGUUUCUAUAGCAGCACACAAAAAUUAGAUUACUCAAGAACUGUUAUUCCCUUUUUUGUUUCUAUGCCCUUGAGCCCCACAUUGAGCGCCAAAAUCUGUCUUGGUUUGGAAAGACAGGUGUCUGCUAAGGAAGGCAGGAGUCUCUUGAAAUGGAAAAACGUAAACUUCUUCCUUCUGAAUUGUUAUAAAUUUGAAAAUAAGGGGGGUUUUCAGGUAAAAAUAUGGGAAUAGGAAUAAGAGUUCUUUAUUAGGGAAGAAAAUAAAAAAAUAAAAUAAACAAUGCAGUGAACUAAAACAACACUGACAGAGCCAGAAUACAAGCUGACACGCUAUUGGUCAGGGUGUUGGCAGCAGUUAAAUUGGAAUGAUGGCUGCGGUUUUUCUGGAGUGUCAGGUGUGGUUCUGUUGGAGUAGGGACUCUGUAGAAAAGGGUGUAGUCUUCUUUUGAAGAGGUAGUGGAAGAGGCAGCUGUUCCUUUGGGAAAACCCAGUGCAGAAAAAACCUGUGCUGAUGGGCCAGAAUCUCAAGACUAUAUAUGAAGGUAGGAAUGCUUGGCUCCUCCCUCUGGGCGGAGCAUCUCACAAUGGGAUAUUAUAGUUUUUAUUAGCCAUGCAGUGACACUCAAUGGCCCAUUAUUAGCAGAUGUCUCCCCAGAGGGAGGAUUGAUUGUGGAAGAGAUAAGGAAAAUUGCCCACUUAACACAAGACAACUGCCAUACAGAUGGCAAAUAGAAUACAUCUUGCUUUUCAAUCUGGGACAUUUGGAAAAAUAAUUGGAAAAGUAUAUGUGAUUAGUGUUAUGAAGCAGAUGGGUUUCUUCAAGAAUACAUGUGGAAGGUAGGAUGCAGAAGUUGGAUUCAGCCUUGGGAAUGGAGGAAGUCAGGAACUGACUCCCAAACCAAAACUGGCAUCAACUGAAGUUAGAAGACAACUCCCAGAGCAGGAUCGACCUUGAAUAUGAAUAAAACUGGCAGCAUUCCAGAGAGGGAACCUAAAAUAGUGGUCUUAUCUAUGAAAUAAUAAGGCUCAAUUGAAACAUAAUGCAUCAAGCUCAAUGUGCAUGCACAAUCUGCCAGGUCAUUCAGCGGACAGCAAGGAAGACCUUUGGCCUUCCUCCAAGAAGACCCCCGAAGAGACAAGAAGACUCCCUAGCAACAACGGGAGCAUGCGCCAUGCAGUAGAGUGACACAGAUUUCAAGAAUCAAAAAUGGGAGCAGAUUUAUGGGAAUUAUUGAUGAAUAUGUAUUAGCAUACAGUAUAAAAAUUGUUCUUGGAUUCUUUUGCCCUUUGUACAGGUGGCAAUGUGAGAACCCCUCCCCGUACCCCGAUCGGUUUUGCUUCUGCUUUAUCUGAACCAUUGCCAAAUAACUCUUUGUAACCACUUCAUUAUAUUUUAUUGUAUUAUUAUUAUUUUAUUCCCCAAUUAAAAAUUGCUGCUAAAUUUCAA
Long non-coding RNA from Vidua macroura (Pin-tailed whydah), 2729 nucleotides. RefSeq lists it as uncharacterized. The transcript has 5 exons. The record is from RefSeq and is a predicted model, not a curated record. Lineage: Eukaryota; Metazoa; Chordata; Aves; Passeriformes; Viduidae.